Molecule: long non-coding RNA, 1417 nt
Organism: Nannospalax galili (Upper Galilee mountains blind mole rat)
Lineage: Eukaryota; Metazoa; Chordata; Mammalia; Rodentia; Spalacidae
Exons: 3
Source: RefSeq, a predicted model, not a curated record
GGUGAAUCUGGCUAGACAGUCUGAAGGACUCUUUGCAAUGCUUAGCACAGUUCUUUGACUUAAUAAUUAUUUCCAAAUAAAAAGUUAAAAAAUUUCUUUCCUGACAUAAAUUGUAGGUUAGUCUCAUCUGUCAAUGGAAUAAGAAAUGAGCUACAUGGUGAAAAAGUCCAGUGUUAAAGCCUACAUCAAAAUGAUCUUCCCCUCCAUUGGAUCACUUAGUAUGAAUGAAGAAUUGAGGAAAAGGUUCUCGGAGAUGAAUGACAAGUGUCAAGGAGGCUGAUGACCCGAAUUUCCCUUGCUACUUUAUUCUACUAAGAUUGGGCAGAUGCCAUGUAACAGUCAUGGACAGAAUCAGCGAUGGACAAUUAUACCUUGGACAACAGAAAUGGGAAAGCUGGUGAUUGUUAUGAGAAGGCAUCUCACUUUCUAAGUGCUGACCCUAUGUAAUCAGACGGUGUCACUCCAAAGGAUACUGGCAUGGAAGGAUGACCACCCUGAGCAGGCUUCAGUGGGUCGACAAAUGUGAGUCAUCUGCUGUUUUCCUGCAUUCUUCAUUGACAUUUCAUCCCAGAAUGAGGGGGGCUUUAAUUUUUAGACUGGAUUAGCAAAAAUCAGUAAUUAAUACAUGAAGUACCAAAUAUGAAAUAUUACUCUACACAGAGGCAUUUCACACUUCAUUGAUUUCAUGAGCGGGCCAGAGGUGCCAGAACAAUAAUUAAUAUGUUUUAAGGGAAAGAUUAUUAUGCAAGGUCAGCAGAAUCUGAAGGAUUAACAAAGAAGAGAUUAAAAUAUAUUCUGAAACUAUUUCUUAAAUAUGGGUUUUAAUUGAGUUUUAAUUGAUAUUUGAAAAAAGACACAGAUUUUCUAUGAUAAUUUAGUAACAAUUCUUUAUCUGUCAGUGAAACAUGCUAUACAUGCAAACAUAAUGUAUACCAAUGUACUGGCCUUUUAGGAACAAUAUCAAAAGAAAAUGUUGCUGUGUAUGUGCUCAUCUAUUCUUGGGUAUAUGACAUACUUAUUUACAUUUCUGAAUUUUCACUGUAAUAGUAAAAUUUAAAGCCCUAGCAAAAUCACUUAGUAUUAUCUCAAAAUUUACCAGCCAAUAUGUAUUUUUCAAAAAAGAGUUUGAGUUCUCCAGGCUUGGGUCUAGGUCAUGGUGACAUGGCUAAAUGAACCAGGAAGGUGGGACUGUAAGUAAAUAUAGGAUGGCUGUGGAGCCUCCGUCCGGAAACUGGUGAAGAAGACUGAAACCAGUCAGCAUGCCAAGAAUACGUGCUCCUUCUGUAGCAAGACCAAGGUGAAAAGAUGGGCAGUUGGCAUCUGGCACUGUGGUUCCUGCAUGAAAAUGGUGGCUGGUGGAGCCUGACCUACCACACCACCUCUGCUGACAUGGUCAAGUCUGCCCUCAGAAGACUGA